Molecule: unclassified non-coding RNA, 155 nt
Filed under: soil metagenome
Description: partial internal transcribed spacer 1
Source: RNAcentral
UAAUAAGUGUUUUAUGGCACUUUUUAAAUCCAUAUCCACCUUGUGUGCAAUGUCAGUCGAUUUCUUUUCGUCAAUGAAAAGGAUCGACCAAACAUCAACCUUAUUCUAAUUGAACUCUUUGUCUGAAAAAUAUUAUGAAUAAACAAUUCAAAAUA